CAUAUUGGAAAUUCAAAUUUGUUUGGAUCAUGGUUUAGUUAUUCAUUCGUAAGUAGUUUAAAUGCUAGCUGGAAGCAUUACCCUUUUUCAUGAACUAAAAAACUGAAGUAAAAAUUAAGGCAAAUUGGCGGUAUUUUUCUACUACGCUUACUCUAUCCAGUUAUCAUGUUCGCUAAAAGGUAUAAUAAGAAGCAACCUGCAACGUUAAAUAAUAAAUACUUAUGAAAUGAUUCAUGA
Molecule: long non-coding RNA, 237 nt
Organism: Colias croceus (clouded yellow)
Lineage: Eukaryota; Metazoa; Arthropoda; Insecta; Lepidoptera; Pieridae
Exons: 2
Source: RefSeq, a predicted model, not a curated record